Molecule: ribosomal RNA, 504 nt
Filed under: uncultured bacterium
Lineage: Bacteria
Description: bacterial SSU rRNA
Rfam family: Bacterial small subunit ribosomal RNA
Source: RNAcentral
AGAGUUUGAUCCUGGCUCAGGACGAACGCUGGCGGCGUGCUUAACACAUGCAAGUCGAACGGUAAGGCCUCUUCGGAGGUACACGAGUGGCGAACGGGUGAGUAACACGUGAGCAACCUGCCCUUGACUCUGGAAUAACAGCUGGAAACAGCUGCUAAUACCGGAUAUGACCUCUUGCGACAUCGCACGGAGGUGGAAAGCUCCGGCGGUCAAGGAUGGGCUCGCGGCCUAUCAGCUAGUUGGUGGGGUAACGGCCUACCAAGGCUUCGACGGGUAGCCGGCCUGAGAGGGCGACCGGCCACACUGGGACUGAGACACGGCCCAGACUCCUACGGGAGGCAGCAGUGGGGAAUAUUGCGCAAUGGGCGGAAGCCUGACGCAGCGACGCCGCGUGGGGGAUGACGGCCUUCGGGUUGUAAACCUCUUUCAGCAGGGACGAAGCGAAAGUGACGGUACCUGCAGAAGAAGCACCGGCCAACUACGUGCCAGCCGCCGCGGUAAUAC